CCUUUUGUAUAAUGGGUCAGCGACUUAUAUUCUGUAGCAAGGUUAACCGAAUAGGGGAGCCGAAGGGAAACCGAGUCUUAACUGGGCGUUAAGUUGCAGGGUAUAGACCCGAAACCCGGUGAUCUAGCCAUGGGCAGGUUGAAGGUUGGGUAACACUAACUGGAGGACCGAACCGACUAAUGUUGAAAAAUUAGCGGAUGACUUGUGGCUGGGGGUGAAAGGCCAAUCAAACCGGGAGAUAGCUGGUUCUCCCCGAAAGCUAUUUAGGUAGCGCCUCGUGAAUUCAUCUCCGGGGGUAGAGCACUGUUUCGGCAAGGGGGUCAUCCCGACUUACCAACCCGAUGCAAACUGCGAAUACCGGAGAAUGUUAUCACGGGAGACACACGGCGGGUGCUAACGUCCGUCGUGAAGAGGGAAACAACCCAGACCGCCAGCUAAGGUCCCAAAGUCAUGGUUAAGUGGGAAACGAUGUGGGAAGGCCCAGACAGCCAGGAUGUUGGCUUAGAAGCAGCCAUCAUUUAAAGAAAGCGUAAUAGCUCACUGGUCGAGUCGGCCUGCGCGGAAGAUGUAACGGGGCUAAACCAUGCACCGAAGCUGCGGCAGCGACGCUGAUGCGUUGUUGGGUAGGGGAGCGUUCUGUAAGCCUGCGAAGGUGUGCUGUGAGGCAUGCUGGAGGUAUCAGAAGUGCGAAUGCUGACAUAAGUAACGAUAAAGCGGGUGAAAAGCCCGCUCGCCGGAAGACCAAGGGUUCCUGUCCAACGUUAAUCGGGGCAGGGUGAGUCGACCCCUAAGGCGAGGCCGAAAGGCGUAGUCGAUGGGAAACAGGUUAAUAUUCCUGUACUUGGUGUUACUGCGAAGGGGGGACGGAGAAGGCUAUGUUGGCCGGGCGACGGUUGUCCCGGUUUAAGCGUGUAGGCUGGUUUUCCAGGCAAAUCCGGAAAAUCAAGGCUGAGGCGUGAUGACGAGGCACUACGGUGCUGAAGCAACAAAUGCCCUGCUUCCAGGAAAAG
RNAcentral lists this ribosomal RNA (1010 nucleotides) under Escherichia coli. Its description in RNAcentral is "partial 23S ribosomal RNA". It matches the Rfam family "Bacterial large subunit ribosomal RNA", at positions 604 to 1617 of the family's 2925-position model. The record is from RNAcentral. Lineage: Bacteria; Pseudomonadati; Pseudomonadota; Gammaproteobacteria; Enterobacterales; Enterobacteriaceae.